GGAUGAUGAGAGCUUGCUCUCUGAUUUUAGCGGCGGACGGGUGAGUAACACGUGGGCAACCUGCCCUACAGAUGGGGAUAACUCCGGGAAACCGGGGCUAAUACCGAAUAAACAGUUCGUCCGCAUGGACGAGCUCUGAAAGGCGGUUUCGGCUGUCACUGUAGGAUGGGCCCGCGGCGCAUUAGCUAGUUGGUGGGGUAAUGGCCUACCAAGGCAACGAUGCGUAGCCGACCUGAGAGGGUGAUCGGCCACACUGGGACUGAGACACGGCCCAGACUCCUACGGGAGGCAGCAGUAGGGAAUCUUCCACAAUGGACGAAAGUCUGAUGGAGCAAUGCCGCGUGAGCGAAGAAGGUUUUCGGAUCGUAAAGCUCUGUUGUAAGGGAAGAACACGUACGGGAGUAACUGCCCGUACCUUGACGGUACCUUAUUAGAAAGCCACGGCUAACUACGUGCCAGCAGCCGCGGUAAUACGUAGGUGGCAAGCGUUGUCCGGAAUUAUUGGGCGUAAAGCGCGCGCAGGCGGUUCUUUAAGUCUGAUGUGAAAGCCCACGGCUCAACCGUGGAGGGUCAUUGGAAACUGGAGAACUUGAGUACAGA
RNAcentral lists this ribosomal RNA (600 nucleotides) under uncultured bacterium. Its description in RNAcentral is "bacterial SSU rRNA". It matches the Rfam family "Bacterial small subunit ribosomal RNA", at positions 68 to 652 of the family's 1533-position model. The record is from RNAcentral.